This is a long non-coding RNA of Magnolia sinica, 820 nucleotides long. RefSeq lists it as uncharacterized. Lineage: Eukaryota; Viridiplantae; Streptophyta; Magnoliopsida; Magnoliales; Magnoliaceae. The transcript has 5 exons. The record is from RefSeq and is a predicted model, not a curated record.
UGUUGAAACUAUUUUAGGAUUUUGCUAUUCUGACUUAUUUCUUACCAGGAAUAAUAUAAAACAGGGAUGUUUCUCUUCCGAAUCAGUCUCAUUGCUUGAGAAUAUAGAUUUUUUUUUUUUUAGAGGCUGUGAUCAGACAAUUCAGUUGGUGGUAGAAGGCCAUUUGUUAGAAUAAAGCUAUUUGAUUCUGUUCAGUGUUUAGAAAUUUCUAAUAGUAAUCAUGGGAGGGAAAAGCUCUAGGAUGGAAAGCCACCGCCAUUCAUAUCCUUAUGGGAAUACGCCUGCAUGGGCUACCUCACCCAGCCCUUCCUAUGCUAGCAGCUAUACUGAACCCGAAGUGAUGAGCAAAUCAAAUAGAAGGUAGUCAAGGAUUGCCGAUAACUACAACUCACUCGAUCAGGUUGAGGUUGCUCUGAGAGAUCUUAAACUCUUAGAUUAUGCCAAGAAGAAUAAUGUAAACACCUCGGCACUGACACAGUCUGAAAUUCGUGAUAUAAUACUGGGGGCUGAGAUAACUCCACCUUUACAACAGAGGCAACAGAUUACGGAGAUUGAGAAGCAGGCGAAAGAAGCAAGCCAACCUAUAGCAGUCACAACAAGGACAACAAUUGUGCACGGCGAUGAACUCAUUGUCACCACAACAAGCCCUUAUGAGCAAGCAGCAUUUAGUUCUAAAACUAAUUGGCGUGUGGGAGCAAUCUCAGCGACGAAUCUAUAUCUUAGAGUAAAUCAUAUUUAUGUGAACACCAAGGACAUUAAGGAGACAGGCUACACAUACAUCAUGCCCAAGAACAUUUUGAAGAAGUUUAUUUGCAUAGCA